UUGGUCGGAAACCGAACAAGGAGAUGGUACGUCGAGACGAUCGCCUUGAGGGCGUUCAAUCCGGGUCGUCCAAGUAUGACGUUGUAAGCCGAAGGAACUUGGACGACCGUGAAAGUUAGGUGGACCGUGCUUUGCCGAGGUUCGGUGCCGGUCGUCACGGGCAGGGUAAUUUCCCCCUCUGUCGUGACAGCGUCUCCGGCAAAGCCGAUCAGGGGCACAGAGACCCUCUUAAGUCGGUCAGUUGACAGUCGCAUUCGAGAGAAGGUCGAGUAAAAUAAAAUAUUUGUCGAACUUCCAUUAUCAACAAAAAUUCAUUUUACAUCAUAAUUUGCUAUUGUCGCCGACACAACAACAGCAUCGUCGUGGGGAGUUUG
This 374-nucleotide long non-coding RNA is filed under the name Elaeis guineensis (African oil palm). Its description in RNAcentral is "long non-coding RNA (EGUI_LNC077745)". The record is from RNAcentral. Lineage: Eukaryota; Viridiplantae; Streptophyta; Magnoliopsida; Arecales; Arecaceae.